RNAcentral lists this ribosomal RNA (511 nucleotides) under uncultured bacterium. RNAcentral describes it as "partial 16S ribosomal RNA". The record is from RNAcentral.
GGAGUUAGCCGGUGCUUCUUCUGCGAGUAACGUCACAGAUGUAAGGUAUUAACUUACACCCUUUCCUCCUCGCUGAAAGUGCUUUACAACCCGAAGGCCUUCUUCACACACGCGGCAUGGCUGCAUCAGGGUUUCCCUCAUUGUGCAAUAUUCCCCACUGCUGCCUCCCGUAGGAGUCUGGGCCGUGUCUCAGUCCCAGUGUGGCUGAUCAUCCUCUCAGACCAGCUAGGGAUCGUCGCCUAGGUGAGCCUUUACCUCACCUACUAGCUAAUCCCACCUGGGCUUAUCCAUCAGCGCAAGGCCCGAAGGUCCCCUGCUUUCCCCCGUAGGGCGUAUGCGGUAUUAGCAGUCGUUUCCAACUGUUAUCCCCCACAAAUGGGCAAAUUCCCAGGCAUUACUCACCCGUCCGCCGCUCGUCAUCUUCAAAAGCAAGCUUUUGAAAUGUUACCGCUCGACUUGCAUGUGUUAGGCCUGCCGCCAGCGUUCAAUCUGAGCCAUAAUCAAACUCUGA